GUAGCGCUGCGAGCAGCUGCGUCUCCCUCCCGGGGCUCGCGCGCCCAGAACCCUCCGGUCUCAAGGAAGCAGGAAAUAGCCCGAAUCACAAUAAUAUACGGGAGCAGCCGCGGAGGCCGCUGGCGCCCUCCCAUUCCCGGGGAGCUUCCCGCACUCCGGCUUGGGUGAAGUGCAGCCAGCGACGCGCGCAGGGAGCGCAGGGGGACACCAGCCCAGCAGCUAGCGCCGCGCCGCCCAGCGCCCCGGAGAGCCGCCUUCGCCCUCGCCCAGCGCCCGACACCGCCGGCCGCGGCGGCGGCCGCCACCGGCUCUAGGCAAGUACCCUCCUCUCUCUCCCUCCCCGGCCCAGGUGCUGCCUGCCGCACGCCCCGGGAGAGCCGCCGAGGCGCGGCAGCCUGUGCCCAGGCGUCGCCGGGAUGCCUUCCCUCCUGUCCCGACUUUGGCCAGGGAAUGAUUUGGUGGGCGCGAAUUCGCGCUGGUGCCCUGGGUCGUUUGUGCAGGCGGGGUGAGGGGCAGCGCGAGUAAACGGGUUGACAUCCCCUAGGUUUCUCUGCAGAGUGCGCUGUGUACUUCAUCGGGCAUUUACUUUUUCACUGCUUCCUCAUCGCCCCCGGGGCGGCAGCGCCUCACAGGGUCUCUCUGGGGGAAUCAUCAACAGGUGUGCCUGAACACGCACCUGCGGCAGCCACAGGUGUCUGGGAGCCACCUUUUUUCUUCUCCCUGGCCUGGCACCCUUUCACUCAAGGGAUGGAAACUGUUUCACUUUCUGCUGAGCUUCUCUUUUACCCGAUUAAAAGGGCCUUUGAAUUUCUGUUGGCGCAG
RNAcentral lists this long non-coding RNA (822 nucleotides) under Homo sapiens (human). Its description in RNAcentral is "HSALNT0149896". Lineage: Eukaryota; Metazoa; Chordata; Mammalia; Primates; Hominidae. The record is from RNAcentral.